UGUCUUUUGCUGAAGCAAAUAAUUCUUAGAUGGCUAUUCUGUGUGAGGUUGGCAAAAAAACGUACGAGUUUCCUAAUUUCUUCUCUAUUUUUUAUAAAAGUUAAAUUAUAUUAAUCAAAAAGGAGAAAAUCCCUAUACAAGAAGUAUACCAAAAAGUAGAGAAUUUAAAUCAAAACAUGAUUCUCUACAAAAGAUGCCCCCUAAUUUUUAUCGUAGCCUUCUACAUGAAAUCUAUAUCCAUUAACAAUGUAACCAUUCAAAUAUGUCGUAUAUUGGGUAGGACCACGUGAAAGUGAGAGCAGUUCUUCUAUGAUAAAACUAUCAUCUCCUUUAUGCAAUCGUUGAUUAAUUUUAUGUUUGCAUUUAAAGAUAUACUUUAUCUUAUGUCAUGAAAUAUUUAUGCAGUUAUAGAGUAGAAUACAAUGUUCUACGCAGAUAUAUUAAUAAAUCAACUAAGUGAAAGAAUGGUGCUUUGGUCAUUAAUGUUGCCUUCUAUAUUGGCUAGAAAGUUCUUGUUCAUAGUUGACCACUCUCCUGUUUUAGUUGGGAUCGACACUCCUGUAUAAGCGUUCGAUGCCUGCUAAGCCUCUCCAUCGAGAUACAUCUGUCAUCAUUCUAUGAAGGUGCUAGAGGAUUACAUAUACCAUCUUGUUAUCAGACAAGGGGUUGCUCUGAUGGUAAGAGACCUUCACUUCCAAUCGAGAGAUUGUGAGUUCGAGUCUCCCCAAGAGCAAGGUGAGAAGUUCUUGGAGGGAAGAUGCCGGGGGUCUAUUUGGAAACAGCUUCUCUACCCAAGGUAGGGGUAAGGUAUGCGUACACACUACCCUCCCCAGAUCCCAUUUAGUGGGAUUAUACUGGGUUGUUGUUGUUUACCUCAUCUUAAAGUACCACUGAAGUCAUAGACCCAACAGAUAUUUGUGCAGUUGCACUGAUAUAUGCGUAAAAGCUUCGGCGUACUUUUAUCCUCUGUAAGAGACUCUUCUAAGCUCAAUUCUGAUCAUGUAGCUUUAUAUGAUUUCUUGCUGUGUUUAUUCAAUUGUUUGCCACAGUGACAUUCUGUAUUGGUCUGAACAUGCCUGCAAAAACUGUUGUCUUCACAAAUGUUUGCAAUUUGAUGGAGACAAGUUUAGGUGGAUAUCUAGUGGUGUGUAUAUUCAGAUGAGGGGUCGUCGGGGGAUUGAUGAACGUGGGAUCUGCAUCCUUAUGGUUGACGAGAAGCUUAAACCUCCUACAGUGAAAUCCAUGCUAAAAGGAAGUGCUGCUGAUGCAUUAAACAGUUGCAAGAUAACUAUUUUGGGAAUUACAUACUACAUUCUGAUUAUGUUAUGUUAAAAAGCAGAAAAAAAGGGCUCGAUCGGGACACGACAAGCCCGAACAUCGGACGAAAUCCGAAAUAUCCCAGCCUUUAUGUAGUUGUACUAAAGUGAUCCACCCUCAGUCGCUAGUAUAGGUAACUAAAAAACAGAAGAAAAAAUUGAAGAGUGUACCCUCCUCCUUCAAGAUCCAUCACGUUUAUUUUUCUUUUGUUAAUGUUAGAGGGCACUUCAAAAAAGAAUUUUUUGUUAGAUGGCACUUUUGUAUCCUUGCACCCUUUGUUAUUUAUAUGUUUAUUCAUUCUUCUUCUUCUGAGUCAGUGGACUACAUUGCACAGACCUCAACCUCUUUUGAAUGAUUUUCUAGAACGAUGAUAGUCCCUUUUUCCUUUUCUUCUGCUUUCUUUCUUCAUUUACCUGGAAAAUAAGUUAAGUCUCCUCAUAUUGGACACUUUGUACAUUUAUCUGCACUUCGCGCGGUAAGUAAGUAGAUUUAGAAAUAACCUUUUAAUCACAUAAAUUUAGAUAAAAAGAGAUAAAAUAUUUCUAUGCUUGGAGCCAAAACUUUUUUCCUCUACUUACACAAAGCACAAAAAGAAAUAGAACUAUCCACUAAUUAAGCUGAUACCAUAGAAAUUGAUCAAAAGAAAAAGAAAAGUGUUUUUUCCUUUUGGAUUGAAUGUCACUCCUAUCAAUAAAUAUAUGUUAGAUCCUAUUUUGAUAUUAUUCUUUUCACUGAACCAUGUUAUAUAUUUAACAUUUAGCUAAGGUUUUAAGUAAGGUGAUUAUUCUAAACAGAACCAGUAAUCAAACCUCUUUCCAGGUAAGAUGAUUAUUCUAAACAGAACCAGUAAUCAAACCUCUUUCCAUAAUGGUUAACUCUUGAAUAUGGAAGAAACGAAAGGGUAAACGAAUUUUAAAUCUUUUCCACAAUUAACUUACACAGUUUAGUUUUAAAGAUAGUAGUGUAACAAAGUUUAGAUUUAAUUCUAAGAAAUGGCGAUCUUUGGUUAGAGCCAGGACUCUUUUUUCCCACUAACAAAUGGUACAAAAAACAAAAAGAAUUAUCACAAGAGUUCUUGAAAAGUUAAACAUAAAUUAAAAGGGUGCAUAUAAAAUUCGAUUUAUCUGCUUCUACCUGUGGCCUUUGAUGCACUAUGAUAUAUGGUAUAAUCUCAAAUAUCUCGCUUCAGAAUAGUUGUUAAGAUUAUGUUAAUCCUAUUAACAAAAGAGAAAAGGAAACCAUUUUGUUUAAAUGAAGAGAAACAACAACAAUACAAUAGAAUAGAACAAUAACACUUAUUUCUAUGAUACUAUAAGUAUUUAAAUCAGAAAAUUACCGUUGAAUUGCUUAUCAUGAAUAACAUAAUACUGAGCGAAUUUACAGAAAGUAAUAAAAUACUUCUAGUUCAAUCACUUUUGUAGGAGAACAAUUUAAAGGUAGAAGACCUUUAAAUGUAAGAAGGAAAGAGAAUUUGUUUAGUUGAUAAAUGAAGAAAUUGAGGUAGUUUGGAAUGUUUAAUAUAUGUACCUAUAUGGAGAGAGACUUUUGUAAUUCUUCAACUUUUAUUACACAAGGGAUCACUUUGGUACNNNN
This 2910-nucleotide long non-coding RNA is filed under the name Nicotiana benthamiana. RNAcentral describes it as "long non-coding RNA (NBEN_LNC007330)". Lineage: Eukaryota; Viridiplantae; Streptophyta; Magnoliopsida; Solanales; Solanaceae. The record is from RNAcentral.